UAAUACCAGCUCUCCGAGUGGUAGGGAUGAUUAUUGGGCUUAAAGCGUCCGUAGCCGGCCUAGCAAGUCUUCCGUUAAAUCCAGCAACCUAAUUGUUGGGCUGCGGGGGAUACUGUUAGGCUAGGGGGCGGGAGAGGCCGACGGUAUUCUCGGGGUAGGGGUGAAAUCUUAUAAUCCCGGGAGGACCACCAGUGGCGAAGGCUGUCGGCUAGCACGCGCCUGACGGUGAGGGACGAAAGCUGGGGGAGCGAACCGGAUUAGAUACCCGGGUAGUCCCUGCUGUAAACGAUGCGAGCUAGGUGUUGGGGCGGCUACGAGCCGCUUCAGUGCCGCAGCGAAGGCGUUAAGCUCGCCGCCUGGGGAGUACGGCCGCAAGACUG
This 380-nucleotide ribosomal RNA is filed under the name uncultured archaeon. RNAcentral describes it as "bacterial SSU rRNA". It matches the Rfam family "Archaeal small subunit ribosomal RNA", at positions 471 to 851 of the family's 1478-position model. The record is from RNAcentral.